AUUUUAUGUACCCAUAUUAUAGUUAGUGAUAUAAAGUAUUCGCCUUUAUAUUCUGAAAAGUUUUACAAAAUACUUUACAGAAAAACCGAUGGAUUUACAUUGUAGGAAUACAUGUUCCAGUGCAAACGCUCAGAAAAUAAUUCAGCUGAUAUGAGCCCAGAGUCUAUUUUUGACAAUUUGUACAGGGACUAUAAAAAAAAUCUUGAAAUAGUUCCGACCAAACAUUCAAAACAUAUAUAUGCAUAAUGCCAUAAUUGACAAGCUGCGUACUUAUGCAUGCAUGUUUACAAUACUGACUGCUGUAUCCACAUUUUAAUUUUUUUUACCUAAUGAGUAUUGUAUCUGUUUAUUUUGUUCACACAUCAUUGUCAAUAUAAUGGAUUUUCAUGCGACUGUCAUUGAAGUGAAAGGUCUAUCUAGCUUUAAAACCAGGUAUAAUCCAUCAUGUUCUAAAUAAGGAAAUGCCUGUACCAAGUAAGGUAUAUAACAGUUGUUAUCUAUUCGUUUGGUGUGUUUUGCCAUUUGAUUAAGGGCUUUUUGGUUUUAAUUUUCCUUGGAGAACGGUAUUUUUUUAUUUCACUUUUUAUCAAUGUAAAGGAAUAACAUCUUAUUUAUGAAUAUUUAUUUCUGACCCCCCCUUUUUUUUUU
This 648-nucleotide long non-coding RNA is filed under the name Mytilus galloprovincialis (Mediterranean mussel). Lineage: Eukaryota; Metazoa; Mollusca; Bivalvia; Mytilida; Mytilidae. The record is from RNAcentral.